UACGGAGGGGGCUAGCGUUGUUCGGAAUUACUGGGCGUAAAGAGCGUGUAGGCGGCCAGAUAGGUCAGCUGUGAAAACUCGAGGCUCAACCUCGAGAUGUCGGCUGAAACCAUCUGGCUAGAGUCCGGAAGAGGAGAAUGGAAUUCCCGGUGUAGCGGUGAAAUGCGCAGAUAUCGGGAAGAACACCCGUGGCGAAGGCGGUUCCCUGGGACGGUACUGACGCUGAGGCGCGAAAGCGUGGGGAGCGAACAGG
This 253-nucleotide ribosomal RNA is filed under the name uncultured bacterium. RNAcentral describes it as "partial 16S ribosomal RNA". It matches the Rfam family "Bacterial small subunit ribosomal RNA", at positions 524 to 776 of the family's 1533-position model. The record is from RNAcentral.